AAGUCGUAACAAGGUCUCCGUAGGUGAACCUGCGGAGGGAUCAUUAACACGAAAUUCUAUCGUAAGAUAGAACGUUAUACCCUAUCAACCAACCCCGUGCACUCGAAUUCUUCAUUGAAUUCAUAUCUCCCUAAUCAUGACGUUAACAAAGGUUUAUAUAAUCGACUAUAAUUUAUAUAUACUAGUAUUAUGUGAUAGUAUCAGCAAUGAUACGUACUAGUAACAAUAAAUUGAUUAUAUAGACUUCGAAUUGAUUAGGACUAACUAUUUCAUAUCACGAAAUAAACAUAACAACCCAUUUCACCCUAACCAUAUAACCAUAGCCUGAUUUUAUUAACUAUAUGAAAAUAUAGGAAAUAACAACUCGAUAUCAUCGAAAACUAAAAGCACAACUCUUAGCAACGGAUAUCUUGGUUCUC
RNAcentral lists this unclassified non-coding RNA (419 nucleotides) under fungal sp. RNAcentral's name for it is "partial internal transcribed spacer region". The stretch from base 1 to 46 matches the Rfam family "Eukaryotic small subunit ribosomal RNA", at positions 1786 to 1831 of the family's 1831-position model. Lineage: Eukaryota; Fungi. The record is from RNAcentral.